AGGAUGAACGCUGGCGGUCUGCUUAACACAUGCAAGUCGAACGGAGUAGCAAUACUUAGUGGCGGACGGGUGAGUAACGCGUGAGAAUCUACCUUCAGGACGGAGACAACAGUUGGAAACGACUGCUAACCCCCGAUGUACCGAAAGGGCAAAUAUUUAUAGCCUGAAGAAGAGCUCGCGUCCGAUUAGCUAGUUGGAGAGGUAAAAGCUCACCAAGGCGACGAUCGGUAGCUGGUCUGAGAGGACGAUCAGCCACACUGGGACUGAGACACGGCCCAGACUCCUACGGGAGGCAGCAGUGGGAAUUUUCCGCAAUGGGCGAAAGCCUGACGGAGCAAGACCGCGUGGGGGAAGAAGGCUCUUGGGUUGUAAACCCCCUUUUCUCUGGGAAGAACGCAAUGACGGUACCAGAGGAAUCAGCAUCGGCUAACUCCGUGCCAGCAGCCGC
RNAcentral lists this ribosomal RNA (448 nucleotides) under uncultured bacterium. RNAcentral describes it as "SSU rRNA". It matches the Rfam family "Bacterial small subunit ribosomal RNA", at positions 26 to 518 of the family's 1533-position model. The record is from RNAcentral.